Molecule: ribosomal RNA, 429 nt
Filed under: Chloroflexota bacterium
Lineage: Bacteria; Bacillati; Chloroflexota
Description: Chloroflexi bacterium partial 16S ribosomal RNA
Rfam family: Bacterial small subunit ribosomal RNA
Source: RNAcentral
UGGGGAAUAUUGCACAAUGGGCGCAAGCCUGAUGCAGCCAUGCCGCGUGUGUGAAGAAGGCCUUCGGGUUGUAAAGCACUUUCAGCGGGGAGGAAGGCGAUAAGGUUAAUAACCUCAUCGAUUGACGUUACCCGCAGAAGAAGCACCGGCUAACUCCGUGCCAGCAGCCGCGGUAAUACGGAGGGUGCAAGCGUUAAUCGGAAUUACUGGGCGUAAAGCGCACGCAGGCGGUCUGUCAAGUCGGAUGUGAAAUCCCCGGGCUCAACCUGGGAACUGCAUUCGAAACUGGCAGGCUAGAGUCUUGUAGAGGGGGGUAGAAUUCCAGGUGUAGCGGUGAAAUGCGUAGAGAGCUGGAGGAAUACCGGUGGCGAAGGCGGCCCCCUGGACAAAGACUGACGCUCAGGUGCGAAAGCGUGGGGAGCAAACAGG